GUAGCUGUUGAAGAUGAUUUUGAUGUAUGUAAAAUUAAGCAUAUUAAUCUAAGAAUCUCUCUCCACAUUCGUAGGAUGUAAUCCCUGUUCAUUACUACUUAAUACCUCCACCAACAAAGACUAAGAAUGGCAGCAAAGAUAAGGAAAAAGAUUCAGAAAAAGAGAAAGAUUUAAAAGAAGAGUUUACUGAAGCAUUGCGAGAUCUUAAAAUUCAGUGGAUGACAAAGCUGGAUUCUAGUGACAUUUAUAACGAAUUGAAAGAAACAUAUCCUAAUUAUCUUCCUCUGUACGUUGCACGACUUCAUCAAUUGGAUGCUGAAAAGGAACGAAUGAAAAGACUUAAUGAAAUUGUUGAUGCGGCAAAUGCUGUUAUUUCUCAUAUAGAUCAAACAGCCCUAGCAGUUUAUAUUGCAAUGAAGACUGAUCCCAGGCCUGAUGCAGCUACUAUAAAAAAGUACCUAACCAGUUGCCUUCUGAUUUCUGCAUCAUUCCAGCCCUUCUCUGGGCAGCCAGGAUCCAUCAGGCAGCAUUUGCCGAGUCUGCCCUGCAGACUCUGGCCGAGCGACGGAUGAAAGGAGUGCUCAGACACAGUGACAUGGACAAACAAAAAUCCACCCUCGUAGAUGCCCUUUGUAGGAAAGGUUGUGCCCUGGCAGACCAUCUUCUUCACACCCAGGCUCAAGAUGGAGCCAUUUCCACGGAUGCAGAAGGAAAGGAGGA
Molecule: small RNA, 720 nt
Filed under: Pan troglodytes (chimpanzee)
Lineage: Eukaryota; Metazoa; Chordata; Mammalia; Primates; Hominidae
Description: processed transcript
Source: RNAcentral